UACGGGGGGGGCAAGCGUUGUUCGGAAUUACUGGGCGUAAAGGGCUCGUAGGCGGCCAACUAAGUCCGACGUGAAAUCCCCAGGCUUAACCUGGGAACUGCGUCGGAUACUGGAUGGCUUGAAUCCGGGAGAGGGAUGCGGAAUUCCAGGUGUAGCGGUGAAAUGCGUAGAUAUCUGGAGGAACACCGGUGGCGAAGGCGGCACCCUGGACCGGCAUUGACGCUGAGGAGCGAAAGCCAGGGGAGCAAACGGG
RNAcentral lists this ribosomal RNA (253 nucleotides) under uncultured bacterium. RNAcentral describes it as "partial 16S ribosomal RNA". It matches the Rfam family "Bacterial small subunit ribosomal RNA", at positions 524 to 776 of the family's 1533-position model. The record is from RNAcentral.